UACGGGGGGGGCAAGCGUUGUUCGGAAUUACUGGGCGUAAAGGGCUCGUAGGCGGCCAACUAAGUCAGACGUGAAAUCCCUCGGCUUAACCGGGGAACUGCGUCUGAUACUGGAUGGCUUGAGUUCGGGAGGGGGAUGCGGAAUUCCAGGUGUAGCGGUGAAAUGCGUAGAUAUCUGGAGGAACACCGGUGGCGAAGGCGGCAUCCUGGACCGACACUGACGCUGAGGAGCGAAAGCCAGGGGAGCAAACGGG
RNAcentral lists this ribosomal RNA (253 nucleotides) under uncultured bacterium. Its description in RNAcentral is "partial 16S ribosomal RNA". It matches the Rfam family "Bacterial small subunit ribosomal RNA", at positions 524 to 776 of the family's 1533-position model. The record is from RNAcentral.